Molecule: long non-coding RNA, 1536 nt
Organism: Nerophis ophidion (straightnose pipefish)
Lineage: Eukaryota; Metazoa; Chordata; Actinopteri; Syngnathiformes; Syngnathidae
Exons: 8
Source: RefSeq, a predicted model, not a curated record
AUCUGAUGAUCUCAUCCUUUUUAGUGUUAGUUUUAUCUAUUAAUUUGGUUUAUCUGGAGAGGAUUUGGGCUAGACAAUUAGUAAUAAAGGGAUUAUGGUGAUGAUUUAAUUUGUUUGAUUCAGUAUUUUACUGUAUUGGACUUUUUGCUAUUCUGUUGACUAAAAUACAAUGCCGCACAAUAAUUGCUUUAAAUGUGCCUGAAAUGUAGGUUUUUGCAUAAAAAAAAACAACCUUCAACCUUGAUUGAGACAAAGGCAAUAAUUCAAAUGCAAUUCAAACUACACACAGUAUUUAAUAUUUUCAAAUGGUUACAAUAGCACAUUAUUUGGGUAUUUUUAUCUUUGGGGCAAAUUUAGGAUUAAUAUGGGGAUUGUUUUUGGAGGUAUUCACUUCACAUUGUGUUCAAGAUGGUUACUUCCGCCCACUCUGAAGAGUCUCGGCGUCUGAUUGGUCCAAUUUUCAGUUAGGCGCCGCCUGAUUGGCCGCUGGACGAUGUCUGCUCCUAACAGAGGGCUAAAUCACUAGUUAACAAUUUUCAUCAUGGAAGUUAUACAGCUCAUGUAUCACACUUAAUAUUGAAUAUAUAUAUAUAAAGGGUUUUCCAAAAGGACCAUUUAUAAUCGAAAUACACAACUUCACACACGAUUUUGAGCACAACAGAGCGCUCAGUGAACAUCACUUCCGGGACCUGCAUCACCAGAGGGGGACAUCUAUCUUGGCCACAAACCAUCUUUGAUAGUCUUCAGCAGCAUGGUUGAAUCAGGCGCAUCAACACAUGAUAUAGACAUCGUGCCCAAAAGAAGAGCGAGACGUAAUCCUGAGGCUGAAGCCACCGAGUUUAUUUGAUCUGGAUGUGACAAGUCUUGUUUUAAGGCCCAGUGGAUCAAUGAUUGGAAAGACACCAACUGUUGAUGUUCUAUCUCAACAUUCUCCAGAUUCAUGUUUGCGAUAAACCGACUUCAUCCCUCCAACAGACACCAACUGUUGGGGUUCUAUCUCAACAUUCUCCAGAUUCAGAUGUGAGCGAUAAACCGACUUCAUCCCUCCAACAGAAACCAACUGUUGAGGUUCCAUCUCAACAUUCUCCGGAUUCAGAUGUGAGCCAUUAACUGACUUCAUCCCUCCAACAGAAACCAACUGUUUGAGGUUCUAUCUCAACAUUCUCUAGAUUCAGAUGACAGCCAUAAACCGACUUCAUCCCUCCAACAGAUUGACAGCAGGACAAAUCGCUGGAAGUGGGUAUGUCUCAAGCUUCUUCCACUUGGUCCACUCUAAAGCGGGCUGCAAAGGGGAAGAAGUGGAAGCAGUUGAAUGACACAUGUUGCAUUUUGUAACUGGCAACAAAGUACCAGGUAAAAAAGAUUGUGAAGCCUGCCUCCAUAAAGAACUAGUAGCUCUACAGGACAGAGAUUGGCUUGCCAUCAAGUACUACAUCCAUAACAGAAUUAUAUUAAAAAAAGGGAAAAAAAAUGUUUUCCCACAUCUUCUGUGGUAGUUUGAGUAUGUUACCAGCAAUUAAAAAAGCAAAAUAAACA